ACCUGGGUGGCUCAGUCGGUUGAGCGUCCGACCUCGGCUCAGGUCACGAUCUUGUGGUCUGUGGGUUCGAGUCCCGCUUUAGGCU
RNAcentral lists this transfer RNA (85 nucleotides) under Felis catus (domestic cat). It matches the Rfam family "tRNA". Rfam says of the family: Transfer RNA (tRNA) molecules are approximately 80 nucleotides in length. Their secondary structure includes four short double-helical elements and three loops (D, anti-codon, and T loops). Further hydrogen bonds mediate the characteristic L-shaped molecular structure. tRNAs have two regions of fundamental functional importance: the anti-codon, which is responsible for specific mRNA codon recognition, and the 3' end, to which the tRNAs corresponding amino acid is attached (by aminoacyl-tRNA synthetases). tRNAs cope with the degeneracy of the genetic code in two manners: having more than one tRNA (with a specific anti-codon) for a particular amino acid; and 'wobble' base-pairing, i.e. permitting non-standard base-pairing at the 3rd anti-codon position. Lineage: Eukaryota; Metazoa; Chordata; Mammalia; Carnivora; Felidae. The record is from Rfam by way of RNAcentral.